GACGAACGCUGGCGGCGUGCUUAACACAUGCAAGUCGAACGGAAAGGCCCUGCUUUUGUGGGGUGCUCGAGUGGCGAACGGGUGAGUAACACGUGAGUAACCUGCCCUUGACUUUGGGAUAACUUCAGGAAACUGGGGCUAAUACCGGAUAGGAGCUCCUGCUGCAUGGUGGGGGUUGGAAAGUUUCGGCGGUUGGGGAUGGACUCGCGGCUUAUCAGCUUGUUGGUGGGGUAGUGGCUUACCAAGGCUUUGACGGGUAGCCGGCCUGAGAGGGUGACCGGCCACAUUGGGACUGAGAGACGGCCCAGACUCCUACGGGAGGCAGCAGGGGGGAAUAUUGCGCAAUGGGCGGAAGCCUGAUGCAGCAACGCCGCGUGCGGGAUGACGGCCUUCGGGUUGUAAACCGCUUUCGCCUGUGACGAAGCGUGAGUGACGGUAAUGGGUAAAGAAGCACCGGCUAACUACGUG
RNAcentral lists this ribosomal RNA (468 nucleotides) under uncultured bacterium. Its description in RNAcentral is "partial 16S ribosomal RNA". It matches the Rfam family "Bacterial small subunit ribosomal RNA", at positions 28 to 507 of the family's 1533-position model. The record is from RNAcentral.